UAUCCCUACGGGGGGCAGCAGUGAGGAAUAUUGGUCAAUGGGCGCAGGCCUGAACCAGCCAAGUCGCGUGAGGGAAGACUGCCCUAUGGGUUGUAAACCUCUUUUAUAAGGGGAGAAUAAUGACUACGUGUAGUCAGAUGCCCGUACCUUAUGAAUAAGCAUCGGCUAACUCCGUGCCAGCAGCCGCGGUAAUACGGAGGAUGCGAGCGUUAUCCGGAUUUAUUGGGUUUAAAGGGUGCGUAGGCGGUAUUUUAAGUUAGUGGUAAAACUUCGGGGCUUAACCUUGUUUGGCCGUUAAAACUGGG
Molecule: ribosomal RNA, 305 nt
Filed under: uncultured bacterium
Lineage: Bacteria
Description: bacterial SSU rRNA
Rfam family: Bacterial small subunit ribosomal RNA
Source: RNAcentral